Long non-coding RNA from Cyprinus carpio carpio, 753 nucleotides. Lineage: Eukaryota; Metazoa; Chordata; Actinopteri; Cypriniformes; Cyprinidae. The record is from Ensembl.
AAAAAAAGAAAAGAAAAAAAAGAUUAAUCUGGUCUGAUCGAUUCUCAGUGAAACAAGAAAAACUGUCAAUAUCCUGACAGCUAACAUUAAAGAAAAGAAUAGUACAUCAGCACCAAGCAAGGUGAACGAAAACGAUGCCAGAGGAAUUGUGCCUUUGUUCCCGUGCUUCAGUGUCCCCUUCUUCAAAAAUGGCUAUGCCAGAAGAGACCAGGAAAGGUGUCUACGUCUCAAGUACAGAUAUCUUCUAAAAGUUUUUUUUUAGAGUGGAACAAGCAUUGCGCAUCUUCAAGACAUCACUGGAAGUGCUCACCUCUGUCUCCUGGCUCUGGGAAGAAUUAUUCAGUUCACCAGUACUUCAGUAUGCCAUUCCAUGCAAGUCAGUGUCUUCUCUCUUGAUGCCUUUGAAAAACUCUUUAAUGGGGUUAAUUUACCCCCACCCCAAAAAAUGAAAAUUCUGUCAUCAUUUACUCACCCUCAUUUUAUAUUAAAACUUAUAUUAAAACUAAGUCAGUGAUUCUGGUAGUGUUUAGGCCAGCAGAGAAGGCAUUGCUGGCCCUGACGGCCCACCACUGGAGUUUUCAGUUCCAGAACACCUGAGCUGUGUUAGUUCAAUCCACUCUGAGUAGGCUGACUCUGACCCUGCGUUCCAUCCAGAAGAGCUCAUCGUGUAUUAAAUAAAUUCAAUGCACACAGACUGAAGUAUUUUAAGUCUUUGGUUCUUUUAAUUGUGAUGAUUUUGGUUCACAUUUAACA